Myodes glareolus (Bank vole) is the source of this 1042-nucleotide long non-coding RNA. RefSeq lists it as uncharacterized. Lineage: Eukaryota; Metazoa; Chordata; Mammalia; Rodentia; Cricetidae. The record is from RefSeq and is a predicted model, not a curated record.
CAGGAUUGGCUGCGAGGCGUUCUUAUGAAACACACUGGUAAAUGAUUCAGAGCAGACGCUUGGGCUCUCCAAAGUGACAGGGAACAUGACACACCCCGGUUAGUCGAAUGCCAAGUCAAUAGGAGAGACUUCAGGAAGAUCACACCAGCUGGUUUGGGCUCAUGACACGGACGCAGAGGUUGCUCUGCCAACAGGGAGACUCCUCUCGAGAUUUCAGGACUCGGACGACCACUGAUCGAACCUUAUAAACCUUGGAUUGCUUAACCGUGACAGCAACAUAAUCCUCUUGCCCUUCCAGUGGACGGAUUGGGAUGCCCAAGCCAGCCACAAAACCCUCGACCUGCAAUUUGUCCUACCUACCUGAUAUGGUGGGGGAAAGGUGGCACAGGAAUUACGGAAGUGGUCAACAGAUGACUGGUUCUGCUUGAGACCCGUACCAUGAGAGGAAGCUCACCCCUGACACUGUCUGGAGGGCCAGGAUGACCCAGAGACCCAGGAUAACAUUACUGGCAAAAAAAAAAAAAUUAAAGUCAAUGAAAUGAUCCCUAAAUAUAUUCUUCUAUACUCAUAGAUUAGGGUCUAACCCAACUGUCAUCAGAGAGGCUUCAUCCAGCAGCCAAUAGAAACAGAUGAAGACCUACAGCCAAGCAUUAGGCAGAGCCUGGGGAAUCCUGCAGAAGAGGGGAAGAAAAAAUUGUAGAAGCUAGAGGGGUCAAGGAUAUCCCAGGAAACCCCAUAGAAUCAACUAAUCUGGACUCCGGAGCUCAUAGAGACCGAACCGACAACCACGGAGCCUGCGUGAGACAGACUUAGGUCCUCUACAUAUAUGUUACAAUUGUGUAGCUUGGUCUUCUUGUGGGUCUCCUAACAGUGGAAGCAGGGGAUGCCUCUGACUCUGUUGCCUGCUUUGGGGACCCUUUUCCUCCUACUGGAUUGCCUCACCAGACUUUAAAGAGGAGGUGCCUAGCCUUACUGUAACUUGAUCUACCAUGACUGGCUGAUGUCCGAGGGUUGCUUGCCCUUUUUUUCUGAAGAGAAAGAA